RNAcentral lists this long non-coding RNA (460 nucleotides) under Mus caroli (Ryukyu mouse). Its description in RNAcentral is "RIKEN cDNA 1700041G16 gene (MGP_CAROLIEiJ_G0004113.1)". The record is from RNAcentral. Lineage: Eukaryota; Metazoa; Chordata; Mammalia; Rodentia; Muridae.
ACUCGGGUUGCGCUGCGGGGACCAUCGGCUCCCACGCAGGCCUGCCCUGGGAUGGCGCCGGACACCUGCUUCCUGUCCACAUCGACUCCGCUAAGGACUGGGCGAGCAGGCUCAAGGGAAGCCAAACAGAAUCAGUUUGCCGGAAGAAAAACAGAAAGGGAGCACCUUACAGAGACUAGAAGUGGCCAGCGCUGGCCUCUCCCUUGUGAAAGUUGGUCCCUGGGGCGAGCUGAANGGGUAGAGAUUUCCCUGAGUACUCAAUAAUCAGUAUGUAUGGUAUGGGGUAGCGAGUGUGAGCGCUGGCGUGUGUAUUUGCAUUUCAGGAAGUGGUUGCUUAGGCAGCUGUGAGACUAGCGGUUGGGAUGGAAACUCUCAGAGCAGCCUGUAGUUUUCAGUUUUGCCGUGUGUACUAUGCGCUAUGUGUAAAGCAAAAGCAAAAGUUUAAACAAGGAACUUUUAA